Molecule: non-coding RNA, 1388 nt
Organism: Peromyscus maniculatus bairdii (prairie deer mouse)
Lineage: Eukaryota; Metazoa; Chordata; Mammalia; Rodentia; Cricetidae
Source: RefSeq, a predicted model, not a curated record
GAUAGGCGGGACUUCCAGGCAGAAAGAGGAAGAGGAGAUAACUGAGGCAAGCAGAAGACAACGUCAAGAUGCGGAAAAAGUCAGACACGCAGAACAGGACAGAGUCUGGUGAUGUGAUUGCUUGCAUAGUUGAUCUUUGGGUAUUGAAUCAGGUUUCCAUACCUAGGAGAAAUCCCACCUGGUCAUGACAAGUCACAGUCCUUCACUGAAGGAAGUCAAGGUAGGAACUCAAUCAGCAACUUGAAGCCAAGCCUGUUUUCUGUUCGGCACAGAAUCACCUCCAACCAGGAAAUUCACUCACAGCCACGGAAAUACAGCAGAAACCAUGGAGGAAUGCCGCUUGCUGGCUCACUCACAGGCCCACGAUCAGCCAGCUUCCUUAUCAAGCCCAGGACCACCUGCCCCAGGAUGAGUGUAGCCCAUAAUAUGCAGGGACCUUCUGUGUCAAUUAACAAUCAAGACGAUCACCCACAGCCGUGUCCACAGGCCAGGCGGAUCUAGGAAAUCCCUCAACUGGGGCUUUUCUCUCAGGGUCAGCUGUGCUACCCUACAGGCGUGAAAGAGGAGGAGUGAAGAUCUCUGACAAGUUCCUCAGAGGCCAGAACGCACACCUCAUGGGAAGAAAGCUGCCUGGGUUCCAGAUCAACCUUUGCUUCUGCCCCAACGCCACCUGCCCACUGAGACUCACUGACUGCUUUUAGUGCUCACCCAGAUGGGGCAAACACACCCCAGCACUUCCUUCUGAGGGUGCAACGUUUGAUUUAAUCCCACACCACUGAACGUGAGAGCAGCCUGCUGUCCAGGGUCCCCCCAGACCUCUGCCACCUGCACCCUAUUGAGGGUCUCACCCUGUGGAGGCCCCUAUAGAUAGAACCAAGCAGGGGUACAAAGCAAUUCCCAGUGAGCUAAUAUUCACAGCCAUCUAAUUGCAUAUUGAAAACAUAAAUUUUUGUCAUGUGUCGGAUGCCUCAAUAACGCUUAGAGGACCUGGAGAGGGAGAGGAGGCUGGGACUGAGAGGCCUGGUGAGGUCUUCCUGAUGACCCAGUCCAGCUGCUCUCCCCGGAGCCCUGUGGUGGGCAACCCUAAGCCCUGCCUGAGGCCUGUCUCUCUAAGAACCUACUGUAGUGGGUAGCUGUUCCAGCUUUGACCUGGAAGUACCACCCCUAGUGAGGCUUCUGGUAACUGCCCUGCCUACCUAUGACCUGCCCCUGGGGCAGGGCCAAGAUGGGAGCUUUUAACACCCGAGAUCCGGACGUGCAGGCUCUCUUGGCUCCUGGUGAUCCUGGAUGGUGAAUGACAGACCGAGUUAAGAGUUCUCCAGAGAACCCUGCUAGACUGCACCUCACUUCUUCCGGAUCCUGUAACCAACCCCUUUACUGGCUGUAAG